RNAcentral lists this ribosomal RNA (447 nucleotides) under uncultured bacterium. RNAcentral describes it as "SSU rRNA". It matches the Rfam family "Bacterial small subunit ribosomal RNA", at positions 26 to 518 of the family's 1533-position model. The record is from RNAcentral.
AGAACGAACGCUGGCGGCAGGCUUAACACAUGCAAGUCGAACGCCCGUAGCAAUACGGGAGUGGCAGACGGGUGAGUAACGCGUGGGAACGUACCCUUCGGUUCGGAAUAACUCGGGGAAACUCGUGCUAAUACCGGAUACGUCCGCAAGGAGAAAGAUUUAUCGCCGAAGGAUCGGCCCGCGUCGGAUUAGCUAGUUGGCGGGGUAAUGGCCCACCAAGGCAACGAUCCGUAGCUGGUCUGAGAGGAUGAUCAGCCACACUGGGACUGAGACACGGCCCAGACUCCUACGGGAGGCAGCAGUGGGGAAUAUUGGACAAUGGGCGCAAGCCUGAUCCAGCCAUGCCGCGUGAGUGAAGAAGGCCUUAGGGUUGUAAAGCUCUUUCAGCGGGGAAGAUAAUGACGGUACCGCAGAAGAAGCCCCGGCUAACUUCGUGCCAGCAGCCGC